RNAcentral lists this transfer RNA (81 nucleotides) under Polyplacotoma mediterranea. RNAcentral describes it as "tRNA-Arg". Lineage: Eukaryota; Metazoa; Placozoa. The record is from RNAcentral.
GAUGAUAUACUAAAGACAUUUUUUUUUGGGGGGGGUUUCGAACCCCAUUAGUCCGUGGGAGAAAAAACUCCCUUCUUAUCU